This 253-nucleotide ribosomal RNA is filed under the name uncultured bacterium. RNAcentral describes it as "partial 16S ribosomal RNA". It matches the Rfam family "Bacterial small subunit ribosomal RNA", at positions 524 to 776 of the family's 1533-position model. The record is from RNAcentral.
UACGAAGGGGGCUAGCGUUGCUCGGAAUUACUGGGCGUAAAGGGUGCGUAGGCGGCUUUCUAAGUUGGAUGUGAAAACUCUGGGCUCAACCCAGAGCCUGCAUCCAAAACUGGAGAGCUUGGGUACUGGAGGGGAAAGCGGAAUUCCUGGUGUAGCGGUGAAAUGCGUAGAUAUCAGGAGGAACACCGGUGGCGAAGGCGGCUUUCUGGACAGUUACCGACGCUGAGGCACGAAAGCUAGGGGAGCAAACAGG